This 907-nucleotide ribosomal RNA is filed under the name Escherichia coli. Its description in RNAcentral is "partial 23S ribosomal RNA". It matches the Rfam family "Bacterial large subunit ribosomal RNA", at positions 244 to 1191 of the family's 2925-position model. Lineage: Bacteria; Pseudomonadati; Pseudomonadota; Gammaproteobacteria; Enterobacterales; Enterobacteriaceae. The record is from RNAcentral.
UAGCGGCGAGCGAACGGGGAGGAGCCCAGAGCCUGAAUCAGUGUGUGUGUUAGUGGAAGCGUCUGGAAAGGCGCGCGAUACAGGGUGACAGCCCCGUACACAAAAAUGCACAUACUGUGAGCUCGAUGAGUAGGGCGGGACACGUGGUAUCCUGUCUGAAUAUGGGGGGACCAUCCUCCAAGGCUAAAUACUCCUGACUGACCGAUAGUGAACCAGUACCGUGAGGGAAAGGCGAAAAGAACCCCGGCGAGGGGAGUGAAAAAGAACCUGAAACCGUGUACGUACAAGCAGUGGGAGCCUCUUUUAUGGGGUGACUGCGUACCUUUUGUAUAAUGGGUCAGCGACUUAUAUUCUGUAGCAAGGUUAACCGAAUAGGGGAGCCGAAGGGAAACCGAGUCUUAACUGGGCGUUAAGUUGCAGGGUAUAGACCCGAAACCCGGUGAUCUAGCCAUGGGCAGGUUGAAGGUUGGGUAACACUAACUGGAGGACCGAACCGACUAAUGUUGAAAAAUUAGCGGAUGACUUGUGGCUGGGGGUGAAAGGCCAAUCAAACCGGGAGAUAGCUGGUUCUCCCCGAAAGCUAUUUAGGUAGCGCCUCGUGAAUUCAUCUCCGGGGGUAGAGCACUGUUUCGGCAAGGGGGUCAUCCCGACUUACCAACCCGAUGCAAACUGCGAAUACCGGAGAAUGUUAUCACGGGAGACACACGGCGGGUGCUAACGUCCGUCGUGAAGAGGGAAACAACCCAGACCGCCAGCUAAGGUCCCAAAGUCAUGGUUAAGUGGGAAACGAUGUGGGAAGGCCCAGACAGCCAGGAUGUUGGCUUAGAAGCAGCCAUCAUUUAAAGAAAGCGUAAUAGCUCACUGGUCGAGUCGGCCUGCGCGGAAGAUGUAACGGGGCUAAACCAUG